GACGAACGCUGGCGGCGUGCUUAACACAUGCAAGUCGAACGGAAAGGCCCUUUCGGGGGUACUCGAGUGGCGAACGGGUGAGUAACACGUGGGUGAUCUGCCCUGCACUUCGGGAUAAGCUUGGGAAACUGGGUCUAAUACCGGAUAGGACUACGAAUCGCAUGGUUUGUGGUGGAAAGCUUUUGCGGUGUGGGAUGGGCCCGCGGCCUAUCAGCUUGUUGGUGGGGUGAUGGCCUACCAAGGCGACGACGGGUAGCCGGCCUGAGAGGGUGUCCGGCCACACUGGGACUGAGAUACGGCCCAGACUCCUACGGGAGGCAGCAGUGGGGAAUAUUGCACAAUGGGCGCAAGCCUGAUGCAGCGACGCCGCGUGGGGGAUGACGGCCUUCGGGUUGUAAACCUCUUUCACCAUCGGCGAAGCCGGGAGCUUUUGUUUCUGG
RNAcentral lists this ribosomal RNA (440 nucleotides) under bacterium Ellin5077. RNAcentral describes it as "bacterial SSU rRNA". It matches the Rfam family "Bacterial small subunit ribosomal RNA", at positions 28 to 470 of the family's 1533-position model. The record is from RNAcentral. Lineage: Bacteria; Bacillati; Actinomycetota; Actinomycetes; Mycobacteriales; Mycobacteriaceae.